UACGAAGGGGGCUAGCGUUGCUCGGAAUCACUGGGCGUAAAGCGUGCGCAGGCGGCUUUGCAAGACAGAUGCGAAAUCCCCGGGCUUAACCUGGGAACUGCAUUUGUGACUGCAUGGCUGGAGUGCGGCAGAGGGGGAUGGAAUUCCGCGUGUAGCAGUGAAAUGCGUAGAUAUGCGGAGGAACACCGAUGGCGAAGGCAAUCCCCUGGGCCUGCACUGACGCUCAUGCACGAAAGCGUGGGGAGCAAACAGG
RNAcentral lists this ribosomal RNA (253 nucleotides) under uncultured bacterium. RNAcentral's name for it is "partial 16S ribosomal RNA". It matches the Rfam family "Bacterial small subunit ribosomal RNA", at positions 524 to 776 of the family's 1533-position model. The record is from RNAcentral.